RNAcentral lists this ribosomal RNA (397 nucleotides) under uncultured bacterium. Its description in RNAcentral is "partial 16S ribosomal RNA". It matches the Rfam family "Bacterial small subunit ribosomal RNA", at positions 523 to 918 of the family's 1533-position model. The record is from RNAcentral.
AUACGUAGGGGGCGAGCGUUGUCCGGAAUGAUUGGGCGUAAAGGGCGCGUAGGCGGCGCGGUAAGUCUGGAGUGAAAGUCCUGCUUUCAAGGUGGGAAUUGCUUUGGAUACUGCCGCGCUUGAGUGCAGGAGAGGUUAUCGGAAUUCCCGGUGUAGCGGUGAAAUGCGUAGAGAUCGGGAGGAACACCAGUGGCGAAGGCGGGUAACUGGACGGCAACUGACGCUGAGGCGCGAAAGUGUAGGGAGCAAACAGGAUUAGAUACCCUGGUAGUCCACACUGUAAACGAUGAAUGCUAGGUGUAAGAGGUAUCGACCCCUUUUGUGCCGGAGUCAACACAAUAAGCAUUCCGCCUGGGGAGUACGGCCGCAAGGUUGAAACUCAAAUGAAUUGACGGGG